AGAGUUUGAUCAUGGCUCAGGACGAACGCUGGCGGCGUGCUUAACACAUGCAAGUCGAACGGUGAAGGGGCCUGCUUUUGUGGGUCCUGGAUGAGUGGCGAACGGGUGAGUAACACGUGAGUAACCUGCCCCCUUCUUCUGGAUAACCGCAUGAAAGUGUGGCUAAUACGGGAUAUUCUGUGCCUGCUGCAUGGUGGGUGUGGGAAAGAUUGCGCCCUUUUUGGGUGUUUUUGGUGGGGGAUGGGCUCGCGGCCUAUCAGCUUGUUGGUGGGGUGAUGGCCUACCAAGGCGGUGACGGGUAGCCGGCCUGAGAGGGUGGACGGUCACACUGGGACUGAGACACGGCCCAGACUCCUACGGGAGGCAGCAGUGGGGAAUAUUGCACAAUGGGCGCAAGCCUGAUGCAGCGACGCCGCGUGAGGGAUGGAGGCCUUCGGGUUGUGAACCUCUUUCGCCAGUGAAGCAGGCCUGCUCCUUGGUGGGUGGGUUGACGGUAGCUGGAUAAGAAGCGCCGGCUAACUACGUGCCAGCAGCCGCGGUAAUACGUAGGGCGCGAGCGUUGUCCGGAAUUAUUGGGCGUAAAGAGCUCGUAGGCGGCUGGUCGCGUCUGUCGUGAAAUCCUCUGGCUUAACUGGGGGCUUGCGGUGGGUACGGGCCGGCUUGAGUGCGGUAGGGGAGGCUGGAACUCCUGGUGUAGCGGUGGAAUGCGCAGAUAUCAGGAAGAACACCGGUGGCGAAGGCGGGUCUCUGGGCCGUUACUGACGCUGAGGAGCGAAAGCGUGGGGAGCGAACAGGAUUAGAUACCCUGGUAGUCCACGCCGUAAACGUUGGGCACUAGGUGUGGGGGGCCUUUUCCGGGUUUUCCGCGCCGUAGCUAACGCAUUAAGUGCCCCGCCUGGGGAGUACGGCCGCAAGGCUAAAACUCAAAGGAAUUGACGGGGGCCCGCACAAGCGGCGGAGCAUGCGGAUUAAUUCGAUGCAACGCGAAGAACCUUACCAAGGCUUGACAUGUGCCGGUCGGCUCCGGAGACGGGGUUUCCUCCUUGUGGGGCCGGUUCACAGGUGGUGCAUGGUUGUCGUCAGCUCGUGUCGUGAGAUGUUGGGUUAAGUCCCGCAACGAGCGCAACCCUUGUCUCGUGUUGCCAGCACGUUGUGGUGGGGACUCGCGGGAGACUGCCGGGGUCAACUCGGAGGAAGGUGGGGAUGACGUCAAAUCAUCAUGCCCCUUAUGUCUUGGGCUUCACGCAUGCUACAAUGGCCGGUACAGAGGGCUGCGAUACUGUGAGGUGGAGCGAAUCCCUUAAAGCCGGUCUCAGUUCGGAUCGGUGUCUGCAACUCGACACCGUGAAGUUGGAGUCGCUAGUAAUCGCAGAUCAGCAACGCUGCGGUGAAUACGUUCUCGGGCCUUGUACACACCGCCCGUCACGUCAUGAAAGUCGGCAACACCCGAAGCCCGUGGCCU
This 1462-nucleotide ribosomal RNA is filed under the name Actinomyces oris. RNAcentral describes it as "16S ribosomal RNA". It matches the Rfam family "Bacterial small subunit ribosomal RNA". Lineage: Bacteria; Bacillati; Actinomycetota; Actinomycetes; Actinomycetales; Actinomycetaceae. The record is from RNAcentral.